RNAcentral lists this ribosomal RNA (440 nucleotides) under uncultured bacterium. RNAcentral describes it as "partial 16S ribosomal RNA". It matches the Rfam family "Bacterial small subunit ribosomal RNA", at positions 338 to 795 of the family's 1533-position model. The record is from RNAcentral.
CCUACGGGUGGCAGCAGUGGGGAAUAUUGCACAAUGGGGGAAACCCUGAUGCAGCGACGCCGCGUGAAGGAAGAAGUAUUUCGGUAUGUAAACUUCUAUCAGCAGGGAAGAAAAUGACGGUACCUGACUAAGAAGCCCCGGCUAACUACGUGCCAGCAGCCGCGGUAAUACGUAGGGGGCAAGCGUUAACCGGAUUUACUGGGGGUAAAGGGAGCGUAGGCGGUUUAGCAAGUCAGAAGUGAAAGCCCGGGGCUCAACUCCGGGACUGCUUUUGAAACUGGUGAACUAGAGUGCAGGAGAGGUAAGUGGAAUUCCUGGUGUAGCGGUGAAAUGCGUAGAUAUUAGGAGGAACACCAGUGGCGAAGGCGGCUUACUGGACUGUAAAUGACAUUGAUGCUCGAAAGUGUGGGUAUCAAACAGGAUUAGAUACCCCAGUAGUC